This is a non-coding RNA of Macrostomum lignano, 46 nucleotides long. The record is from Rfam. Lineage: Eukaryota; Metazoa; Platyhelminthes; Macrostomidae.
AAAACGGCCCUUUUCAGGGCCACCAAAUUUGUUUGAUGUUGCAAGU